AUUGAACGCUGGCGGCGUGCUUAACACAUGCAAGUCGAUCGGUAACAGGUGUAGCAAUACAUGCUGACGAGAGGCGGACGGGUGAGUAAUGCUUGGGAAUCUGCCUAUUAGUGGGGGACAACCCGGGAAACGUACGGGCUAAUACCGCAUACGCUCUACGGAGGAAAGCCGGGGACCGGCAAGGCCUGGCGCUAAUAGAUGAGCCCAAGUCGGAUUAGCUAGUUGGUAGGGUAACGGCCUACCAAGGCGACAAUCCGUAGCUGGUCUGAGAGGACGACCAGCCACACCGGAACUGAGACACGGUCCGGACUCCUACGGGAGGCAGCAGUGGGGAAGUAUUGGACAAUGGGGGCAACCCUGAUCCAGCGACGCCGCGUGAGGGAUGACGGCCU
Molecule: ribosomal RNA, 392 nt
Filed under: uncultured bacterium
Lineage: Bacteria
Description: bacterial SSU rRNA
Rfam family: Bacterial small subunit ribosomal RNA
Source: RNAcentral